This is a long non-coding RNA of Daphnia pulicaria, 648 nucleotides long. RefSeq lists it as uncharacterized. The record is from RefSeq and is a predicted model, not a curated record. The transcript is spliced from 4 exons. NCBI's taxonomy places the organism in Eukaryota, Metazoa, Arthropoda, Branchiopoda, Diplostraca, Daphniidae.
UUCUCUUUCUGGUUCCGUUCGCAUGCUGUUUCGUAAAACCGAACACACCGACUCGGCGUUACAAAUUGUUAUUUGCUAAUAACAUUUUUUAUAAAUUCGUGAAUAGGCCUACCAAAUAGCAAAAGGUGCACUGUGAUACAAAAUCAAUUGUUGCUUGAAUUUCGGGACCUGGUUCAACAUACUUUGAAGUAGAUGGAGAAAAAGUUUCGAGAUCACACUUGGAACAACAGGGAAUAUAAGAUAGACGAUUUCCACUUUCAGCUUUCCAAUUUUGUUGAGCAACAUUACUCUCUUUGCCUGCGCCCAGUCUGAUCAGUUCAACCACAGACCUCCAGGUUGUACUCCGGAUUUUGAAGCCCUCAUCAGAUUCAAUUCUUUGCUGCCACUUCAAAGGUUGCGGUUUCCACCGUAACGAUUUCUAAUUUAAGAUAAUCUGAAAAUUGAUUGAUUUGAGGUGAAUCCUUCGCCGCUGUUUAAUAGCCUUUAUCCAUUCUUGAAACUGAAGAGAGAUUGCGGAAAUUCAAGACGCAUCAAUAAGUUAUUUAGUUGUAGAUAAAUUACAAGUGCAUAUCUGGGCUCCCUUCUUUUCUGUGGCCCCGUUUCCCUAACUAACCACUAACCAACGCCCGCCGGUGGUCACUCACCCGC